UACGACUACAUAUCAGGCAUAUCAAUAAGCGGAGGAAAAGAAACUAACAAGGAUUCCCUUAGUAACGGCGAGUGAAGCGGGAAGAGCUCAAAUUUGAAAUCUUCAAGGUUUUACCUUGACGAAUUGUAGUUUAAAGAAGUGUUUUCUGUUGGUGUUUUGGUAAAAGUUCUUUGGAAUAGGACAUCAUAGAGGGUGAGAAUCCCGUAUUUGACCAUUACUUCCAGCGUUGUGAUACACUUUCAAAGAGUCGGAUUGUUUGGGAAUGCAGUCCAAAAUGGGUGGUAAAUUUCAUCUAAAGCUAAAUAUUGGCGAGAGACCGAUAGCGAACAAGUACCGUGAGGGAAAGAUGAAAAGAACUUUGAAAAGAGAGUUAAACAGUACGUGAAAUUGUCAAAAGGGAAGCGUUUGACACCAGUGUUGUUUUCUCGAAAAUCAAUUAAAAAGUGUUGGAUUUUGUAUUGUUAAGACCUUAUCAGCUUACUGUACUUUUUUCCUGCUCUUUUUAAUGCACUUUUCGUUUAACAAGUCAACAUCAAUUUCUUUUGUUGUAAAAGGGUCAUUGGAAGGUGGCUUUCACUUCGGUGAAAGUGUUUAUAGCCUUUGGCUUCUACAAUCGGAGAGAUUGAGGUCUGCAGCGUAGAUCCUUCGGGGUUAGAUACGUAGAUGCUAAGUUAUAGUUUUUUAUAGACAACUUGUUGACUAUGAUUAAUCAUGUAGCUUACUCGUUUACGCUAUUUUACCUACGCUUAGGAUGUUGAUCUCUCACAGUCGAGC
Molecule: ribosomal RNA, 774 nt
Filed under: uncultured Neocallimastigales
Lineage: Eukaryota; Fungi; Neocallimastigomycota; Neocallimastigomycetes; Neocallimastigales
Description: partial large subunit ribosomal RNA
Rfam family: Eukaryotic large subunit ribosomal RNA
Source: RNAcentral